This 651-nucleotide ribosomal RNA is filed under the name Anguilla bengalensis bengalensis. RNAcentral describes it as "partial 16S ribosomal RNA". It matches the Rfam family "Bacterial large subunit ribosomal RNA", at positions 1792 to 2624 of the family's 2925-position model. The record is from RNAcentral. Lineage: Eukaryota; Metazoa; Chordata; Actinopteri; Anguilliformes; Anguillidae.
UUUCCCCCUUUUUUUAUAAAAACAUCGCCUCUUGCUAACAAAGGAAGUACUAGAGGUCCCGCCUGCCCUGUGACCACAAAGUUUAACGGCCGCGGUAUCCUGACCGUGCGAAGGUAGCGUAAUCAUUUGUCUUUUAAAUAGAGACCUGUAUGAAUGGCAUAACGAGGGUUUAACUGUCUCCCUCCCCUAGUCAAUGAAAUUGAUCUGCCCGUGCAGAAGCGGACAUAAACACAUAAGACGAGAAGACCCUAUGGAGCUUUAGACAAAAGAUCAAACAUGUAAAGAAACCUAGCUAACCAAAAGGAACACAAAGGCCACAAAACCAAACGUUAAAUAUGAUCCAAAUGUCUUCGGUUGGGGCGACCACGGGGGAAAGAAAAGCCCCCACGAGGAACUAGGGGCAAUCCAUUAAGUCAAGAGAUACACCUCUAAGCAACAGAAAAUCUGACCAAAAAUGACCCAGGACACUAAUCCUGAUCAACGAACCAAGUUACCCUAGGGAUAACAGCGCAAUCCUUUCCCAGAGUCCAUAUCGACGAAAGGGUUUACGACCUCGAUGUUGGAUCAGGACAUCCUAAUGGUGCAGCCGCUAUUAAGGGUUCGUUUGUUCAACGAUUAACAGUCCUACGUGAUCUAGUUCCAAAACCGGGA